This 250-nucleotide ribosomal RNA is filed under the name uncultured Zobellella sp. RNAcentral describes it as "partial 16S ribosomal RNA". It matches the Rfam family "Bacterial small subunit ribosomal RNA", at positions 524 to 773 of the family's 1533-position model. Lineage: Bacteria; Pseudomonadati; Pseudomonadota; Gammaproteobacteria; Aeromonadales; Aeromonadaceae. The record is from RNAcentral.
UACGGAGGGUGCAAGCGUUAAUCGGAAUGACUGGGCGUAAAGCGCACGCAGGCGGUCUGUUAAGCCAGAUGUGAAAGCCCCGGGCUCAACCUGGAAACUGCAUUUGGAACUGGCAGGCUAGAGUCUUGGAGAGGGGGGUAGAAUUUCCGGUGUAGCGGUGAAAUGCGUAGAGAUCGGAAGGAAUACCAGUGGCGAAGGCGGCCCCCUGGCCAAAGACUGACGCUCAGGUGCGAAAGCGUGGGGAGCAAAC